This is a long non-coding RNA of Condylura cristata (star-nosed mole), 488 nucleotides long. RefSeq lists it as uncharacterized. The record is from RefSeq and is a predicted model, not a curated record. NCBI's taxonomy places the organism in Eukaryota, Metazoa, Chordata, Mammalia, Eulipotyphla, Talpidae. The transcript is spliced from 4 exons.
GGCCUCGCCAGGGCGCAGAGGCUGCGUGUGCGUCGCAGCUGCGCGCGUGAGCCCUGUCCUGUCCUGUCCGGUUUCCAGACGUCGUGCGCGUGCUGGUCGUGCGGGGAUUUCAGGAGCGCCCAGAGCCAUGGAGGGAAGGGGAGCCUGAGCGGGCGUCCCAGGUGGCCACUGACGUGCUCCAGAGAAUGCUGUCCUGCGCCCUUGAAGCACUGGCCGCCGGCGUGCAGGAGUCUGCCCCCUCCUACAGGGCAGUGUGCGGCUGGCUCAGCAUCUUCAGCAAACACACCCACCUCAGCAUCGACUGGACAGGGUGUCCAAAGAGGUUUUUCCGUCACACGCUGACGCAGGUCCUGACCCACAGGCCUGUGCUGCAAGGUGGGCCUCCGCCCCUCCCCCCCCCGUUCACGCCCGCGGGCAUGAGGAUCGCAAGUCAGAGGCCGCAGGGCACGUGGCGCGGGUCAACAGGCGCUGGCCAGCCCAGCGGGAGA